This 451-nucleotide ribosomal RNA is filed under the name uncultured bacterium. RNAcentral's name for it is "partial 16S ribosomal RNA". It matches the Rfam family "Bacterial small subunit ribosomal RNA", at positions 354 to 796 of the family's 1533-position model. The record is from RNAcentral.
GUGGGGAAUAUUGGACAAUGGGCGAAAGCCUGAUCCAGCCAUGCCGCGUGUGUGAAGAAGGCCUUUUGGUUGUAAAGCACUUUAAGCGAGGAGGAGGCUACUAGUACUAAUACUACUGGAUAGUGGACGUUACUCGCAGAAUAAGCACCGGCUAACUCUGUGCCAGCAGCCGCGGUAAUACAGAGGGUGCGAGCGUUAAUCGGAUUUACUGGGCGUAAAGCGUGCGUAGGCGGCUGAUUAAGUCGGAUGUGAAAUCCCUGAGCUUAACUUAGGAAUUGCAUUCGAUACUGGUCAGCUAGAGUAUGGGAGAGGAUGGUAGAAUUCCAGGUGUAGCGGUGAAAUGCGUAGAGAUCUGGAGGAAUACCGAUGGCGAAGGCAGCCAUCUGGCCUAAUACUGACGCUGAGGUACGAAAGCAUGGGGAGCAAACAGGAUUAGAUACCCUUGUAGUCC